CAGUCGCCGCGGUAAUACAGAGGGUGCGAGCGUUAAUCGGAUUUACUGGGCGUAAAGCGUGCGUAGGCGGCUUCUUAAGUCGGAUGUGAAAUCCCUGAGCUUAACUUAGGAAUUGCAUUCGAUACUGGUUAGCUAGAGUGUGGGAGAGGAUGGUAGAAUUCCAGGUGUAGCGGUGAAAUGCGUAGAGAUCUGGAGGAAUACCGAUGGCGAAGGCAGCCAUCUGGCCUAACACUGACGCUGAGGUACGAAAGCAUGGGGAGCAAACAGGAUUAGAUACCCGCGUAGUCCCUGUCUCUUAUAC
RNAcentral lists this ribosomal RNA (301 nucleotides) under uncultured bacterium. RNAcentral describes it as "partial 16S ribosomal RNA". It matches the Rfam family "Bacterial small subunit ribosomal RNA", at positions 509 to 807 of the family's 1533-position model. The record is from RNAcentral.